UGAGGAAUAUUGGUCAAUGGGCGAGAGCCUGAACCAGCCAAGUAGCGUGCAGGAUGACGGCCCUAUGGGUUGUAAACUGCUUUUAUAUGGGAAUAAAGUGAGGGACGUGUCCCUUAUUGCAUGUACCAUACGAAUAAGGACCGGCUAAUUCCGUGCCAGCAGCCGCGGUAAUACGGAAGGUCCAGGCGUUAUCCGGAUUUAUUGGGUUUAAAGGGAGCGUAGGCUGUUUGUUAAGCGUGUUGUGAAAUGUAGGAGCUCAACUUUUAGAUUGCAGCGCGAACUGGCAGACUUGAGUGCGCACAACGUAGGCGGAAUUCAUGGUGUAGCGGUGAAAUGCGUAGAGAUCAUGACGAACACCGAUUGCGAAGGCAGCUUACGGGAGCGCAACUGACGCUAAAGCUCGAAGGUGCGGGUAGCGAACAGG
This 424-nucleotide ribosomal RNA is filed under the name Verrucomicrobiota bacterium. Its description in RNAcentral is "Verrucomicrobia bacterium partial 16S ribosomal RNA". It matches the Rfam family "Bacterial small subunit ribosomal RNA", at positions 355 to 776 of the family's 1533-position model. Lineage: Bacteria; Pseudomonadati; Verrucomicrobiota. The record is from RNAcentral.